UACGGGGGGGGCAAGCGUUGUUCGGAAUUACUGGGCGUAAAGGGCUCGUAGGCGGCCAACUAAGUCCGACGUGAAAUCCCAAAGCUUAACUUUGGAACUGCGUCGGAUACUGGAUGGCUUGAAUUCGGGAGAGGGAUGCAGAAUUCCAGGUGUAGCGGUGAAAUGCGUAGAUAUCUGGAGGAAUACCGGUGGCGAAGGCGGCAUCCUGGACCGACAUUGACGCUGAGGAGCGAAAGCUAGGGGAGCAAACGGG
RNAcentral lists this ribosomal RNA (253 nucleotides) under uncultured bacterium. RNAcentral's name for it is "partial 16S ribosomal RNA". It matches the Rfam family "Bacterial small subunit ribosomal RNA", at positions 524 to 776 of the family's 1533-position model. The record is from RNAcentral.